Molecule: non-coding RNA, 95 nt
Organism: Fistulina hepatica ATCC 64428
Lineage: Eukaryota; Fungi; Basidiomycota; Agaricomycetes; Agaricales; Fistulinaceae
Source: the annotation of a GenBank genome assembly
UCUCUGAUAGUAUAUCGGCUAGUACACCCGCCUGUCAUGGGACUCAGGGUACAAACCUGCCGCGGGAGAGCUGGGUUCGACUCCCAGUCAGAGAG